This 901-nucleotide ribosomal RNA is filed under the name Escherichia coli. Its description in RNAcentral is "partial 23S ribosomal RNA". It matches the Rfam family "Bacterial large subunit ribosomal RNA", at positions 989 to 1875 of the family's 2925-position model. The record is from RNAcentral. Lineage: Bacteria; Pseudomonadati; Pseudomonadota; Gammaproteobacteria; Enterobacterales; Enterobacteriaceae.
CGGCGGGUGCUAACGUCCGUCGUGAAGAGGGAAACAACCCAGACCGCCAGCUAAGGUCCCAAAGUCAUGGUUAAGUGGGAAACGAUGUGGGAAGGCCCAGACAGCCAGGAUGUUGGCUUAGAAGCAGCCAUCAUUUAAAGAAAGCGUAAUAGCUCACUGGUCGAGUCGGCCUGCGCGGAAGAUGUAACGGGGCUAAACCAUGCACCGAAGCUGCGGCAGCGACACUAUGUGUUGUUGGGUAGGGGAGCGUUCUGUAAGCCUGUGAAGGUGGCCUGUGAGGGUUGCUGGAGGUAUCAGAAGUGCGAAUGCUGACAUAAGUAACGAUAAAGCGGGUGAAAAGCCCGCUCGCCGGAAGACCAAGGGUUCCUGUCCAACGUUAAUCGGGGCAGGGUGAGUCGACCCCUAAGGCGAGGCCGAAAGGCGUAGUCGAUGGGAAACAGGUUAAUAUUCCUGUACUUGGUGUUACUGCGAAGGGGGGACGGAGAAGGCUAUGUUGGCCGGGCGACGGUUGUCCCGGUUUAAGCGUGUAGGCUGGUUUUCCAGGCAAAUCCGGAAAACCAAGGCUGAGGCGUGAUGACGAGGCACUACGGUGCUGAAGCGACAAAUGCCCUGCUUCCAGGAAAAGCCUCUAAGCAUCAGGUAACAUCAAAUCGUACCCCAAACCGACACAGGUGGUCAGGUAGAGAAUACCAAGGCGCUUGAGAGAACUCGGGUGAAGGAACUAGGCAAAAUGGUGCCGUAACUUCGGGAGAAGGCACGCUGAUAUGUAGGUGAAGCGACUUGCUCGUGGAGCUGAAAUCAGUCGAAGAUACCAGCUGGCUGCAACUGUUUAUUAAAAACACAGCACUGUGCAAACACGAAAGUGGACGUAUACGGUGUGACGCCUGCCCGGUGCCGGAAG